CCUACGGGAGGCAGCAGUGGGGAAUAUUGCACAAUGGGCGAAAGCCUGAUGCAGCGACGCCGCGUGAGGGAUGACGGCCUUCGGGUUGUAAACCUCUUUCAGCAGGGAAGAAGCGCAAGUGACGGUACCUGCAGAAGAAGCGCCGGCUAACUACGUGCCAGCAGCCGCGGUAAUACGUAGGGCGCAAGCGUUGUCCGGAAUUAUUGGGCGUAAAGAGCUCGUAGGCGGCUUGUCACGUCGGGUGUGAAAGCCCGGGGCUUAACCCCGGGUCUGCAUUCGAUACGGGCUGGCUAGAGUGUGGUAGGGGAGAUCGGAAUUCCUGGUGUAGCGGCGAAAUGCGCAGAUAUCAGGAGGAACACCGGUGGCGAAGGCGGAUCUCUGGGCCAUUACUGACGCUGAGGAGCGAAAGCGUGGGGAGCGAACAGGAUUAGAUACCCUGGUAGUCCACGCCGUAAACGGUGGGAACUAGGUGUUGGCGACAUUCCACGUCGUCGGUGCCGCAGCUAACGCAUUAAGUUCCCCGCCUGGGGAGUACGGCCGCAAGGCUAAAACUCAAAGGAAUUGACGG
Molecule: ribosomal RNA, 568 nt
Filed under: Streptomyces galbus
Lineage: Bacteria; Bacillati; Actinomycetota; Actinomycetes; Kitasatosporales; Streptomycetaceae
Description: bacterial SSU rRNA
Rfam family: Bacterial small subunit ribosomal RNA
Source: RNAcentral